This 568-nucleotide long non-coding RNA is filed under the name Mus musculus (house mouse). Its description in RNAcentral is "predicted gene, 57132". Lineage: Eukaryota; Metazoa; Chordata; Mammalia; Rodentia; Muridae. The record is from RNAcentral.
GUGAGUAAGGGCUCUGGUUGGACAAUGAUUUCCGAAUUGUAUGCACUGUCUCCAUAAAUCCCGCUAAAGUGAAUCACCCUGUGACUAUGAGACCUAACAUGAGGACAGUUCCUUCUAAAUUGCCACUGCUUGAUUUGUUGUUGAUAACGUUUAGCUACACAUCUUAAAACACUGUGCUUUGAUUCUGUGACCAUAUACAAUAUUUAUAUAGUGUGAAAGUGAAAACCAAGUCAAGAUUCAUCCUUUGGGGUCUGCAACCCUAUAGGUGAAUCAACAAUAUGAACUAACCAGUAUCCCCUAGAGCUGUGUCUCUAGCUGCAUAUGUAGCAGAAGAUGGCCUAGUCAGCCAUCAUUGGGAAAAGAGGCCCCUUGGUCUUGCAAACUUUAUAUGCCUCAGUACAGGGGAACACCAGGGCCAAGAAAUGAGAGUGGGUGGGUAGGGGAGUGUGGUAGGAGGUAUGGGGGACUUUUGGGAUAGCAUUUGAAAUGUAAAUGAAGAAAAUACCUAAGGAAAAGAAAAAAAAGCCACUUGAACAGGUAGCAAGGUGACAAUUGCUUACAAGAAAAA